GCAGUAUCAGAAUACUGCACACUUUCAGCAAUUUGAGGGGACAUGGAGGCAGUUAACCAGGAAAUUACCAUAUUAUUGCAUUUGUCCCAUAAUCUUUGCUAAGUCACAUUAGUGACUGGCCUGGGACAUGUGCCAUCAACAAAACCAAUUUUGAUCUUAGCAGACAACGCGACAAUCAUUUUCCUCCUCCAAACCCCAUAACUACUGCCGGAGAAGGGAGUGGACACAAGAGAAACUCCAGGAACAUCAGAGGAGUAAACAAAAAGGGGACUG
This 273-nucleotide long non-coding RNA is filed under the name Nicotiana benthamiana. Its description in RNAcentral is "long non-coding RNA (NBEN_LNC001525)". Lineage: Eukaryota; Viridiplantae; Streptophyta; Magnoliopsida; Solanales; Solanaceae. The record is from RNAcentral.